GCACUUGCAGAAAUUCCAUGCACCGAAAAAGAGCUCCUAGCAGAAUUUUGGCAGAGCAUGCAGCCAGUAAUGAAGGGAUAGAUGCACCUGACAGAGGGCUUCUCUCUACAGGAUCCUGGGCCAUUAGUGCUUCGUCGUGGGUCACAGUGCAACAUCAGAUGUCUGCAAAGCUCAUCAGUUUUCCUUGGACUAGGGUGGCCCCUAAAUCAUGGCUGCAGCUG
Perca fluviatilis (European perch) is the source of this 221-nucleotide long non-coding RNA. RefSeq lists it as uncharacterized. The record is from RefSeq and is a predicted model, not a curated record. NCBI's taxonomy places the organism in Eukaryota, Metazoa, Chordata, Actinopteri, Perciformes, Percidae. The transcript has 3 exons.